CCAAAGAAAAGCAUCGACGCGAGGUUCUAGCCGCCCGUACCCCAAACCGACUCAGGUGGUCAGGUAGAGAAUACCAAGGAGAUCGAGAGAAUCGUGGUUAAGGAACUCGGCAAAAUGCCCCCGUAACUUCGGGAGAAGGGGGGCCAUCCACUUAUACGGACUUGCUCCGAAAAGGGUGUGGUGGCCGCAGAGACUAGUGGGUAGCGACUGUUUACUAAAAACACAGGUCCGUGCCAAGUCGCAAGACGAUGUAUACGGACUGACGCCUGCCCGGUGCUGGAAGGUUAAGAGGACCGGUUAGCCGUAAGGCGAAGCUGAGAAUUUAAGCCCCAGUAAACGGCGGUGGUAACUAUAACCAUCCUAAGGUAGCGAAAUUCCUUGUCGGGUAAGUUCCGACCUGCACGAAUGGCGUAACGACUUCCCAACUGUCUCAACCGCGAACUCGGCGAAAUUGCAUUACGAGUAAAGAUGCUCGUUACGCGCAGCAGGACGGAAAGACCCCGUGACCUUUACUACAGCUUGGUAUUGGUGUUCGGUGUGGCUUGUGUAGGAUAGGUGGGAGACUUUGAAGCAUGGACGCCAGUUCGUGUGGAGUCAUUGUUGAAAUACCACUCUGGUCACUCUGGAUAUCUAACUUCGAACCGUAAUCCGGUUCAGGGACAGUGCCUGGUGGGUAGUUUAACUGGGGCGGUUGCCUCCCAAAAAGUAACGGAGGCGCCCAAAGGUUCCCUCAACCUGGUUGGCAAUCAGGUGUCGAGUGUAAGUGCACAAGGGAGCUUGACUGUGAGACUGACAGGUCGAGCAGGGACGAAAGUCGGGACUAGUGAUCCGGCAGUGGCUUGUGGAAGCGCUGUCGCUCAACGGAUAAAAGGUACCUCGGGGAUAACAGGCUGAUCUUGCCCAAGAGUCCAUAUCGACGGCAUGGUUUGGCACCUCGAUGUCGGCUCGUCGCAUCCUGGGGCUGGAGUAGGUCCCAAGGGUUGGGCUGUUCGCCCAUUAAAGCGGUACGCGAGCUGGGUUUAGAACGUCGUGAGACAGUUCGGUCCCUAUCCGCUGCGCGCGUAGGAAGUUUGAGAGGAUCUGACCCUAGUACGAGAGGACCGGGUUGGACGAACCUCUGGUGUGUCAGUUGUUCCGCCAGGAGCACCGCUGAUUAGCUACGUUCGGGAUGGAUAACCGCUGAAAGCAUCUAAGCGGGAAGCCGGCCUCAAGAUGAGACUUCCAUACCUUCGGGUGAGAGGCUCCCAGCCAGACUACUGGGUUGAUAGGCCAGAUGUGGAAGUGCAGUAAUGCAUGCAGCUGACUGGUACUAAUAAGCCGAUGACUUGAAAAA
RNAcentral lists this ribosomal RNA (1333 nucleotides) under metagenome. Its description in RNAcentral is "bacterial LSU rRNA". It matches the Rfam family "Bacterial large subunit ribosomal RNA", at positions 1607 to 2925 of the family's 2925-position model. The record is from RNAcentral.